Molecule: ribosomal RNA, 471 nt
Filed under: Streptococcus sp. oral taxon C65
Lineage: Bacteria; Bacillati; Bacillota; Bacilli; Lactobacillales; Streptococcaceae
Description: bacterial SSU rRNA
Rfam family: Bacterial small subunit ribosomal RNA
Source: RNAcentral
GACGAACGCUGGCGGCGUGCCUAAUACAUGCAAGUAGAACGCUGAAGAGAGGAGCUUGCUCUUCUUGGAUGAGUUGCGAACGGGUGAGUAACGCGUAGGUAACCUGCCUUGUAGCGGGGGAUAACUAUUGGAAACGAUAGCUAAUACCGCAUAACAAUGGAUGACACAUGUCAUUUAUUUGAAAGGGGCAAUUGCUCCACUACAAGAUGGACCUGCGUUGUAUUAGCUAGUAGGUGAGGUAACGGCUCACCUAGGCGACGAUACAUAGCCGACCUGAGAGGGUGAUCGGCCACACUGGGACUGAGACACGGCCCAGACUCCUACGGGAGGCAGCAGUAGGGAAUCUUCGGCAAUGGGGGCAACCCUGACCGAGCAACGCCGCGUGAGUGAAGAAGGUUUUCGGAUCGUAAAGCUCUGUUGUAAGUCAAGAACGAGUGUGAGAGUGGAAAGUUCACACUGUGACGGUAGCUU